Hyla sarda is the source of this 577-nucleotide long non-coding RNA. RefSeq lists it as uncharacterized. The transcript is spliced from 3 exons. Lineage: Eukaryota; Metazoa; Chordata; Amphibia; Anura; Hylidae. The record is from RefSeq and is a predicted model, not a curated record.
GCAUAAUGGCCAUUGCUGCCGUGGCGGUGUGCCUGUAAGGUGGCGCGACCCAGAGCCAGGUACUAGGGCAGCCAGAAUUGGGGCUGCUUUGCCACUGGGCUGUUCCCCCUAUGUGCACUGGAGUUGCGGUGGUGGUGAUCGCUGCCCAUAGCCACUACAUGCAGGCCAGCAAAAGCAUCAUGCCAGGAAAGAAAGCGUACUCUUCCAAAAUUUUCAGAAUACCUAUGCAACUCAGACAAAACAUCUGUUGUCUAAAGCAGGAAAAGAGCCUCUGUUUGACUUUGACUGGCUGAUCUCCGAUUUCAAAUGGAUUCUGUUCCUGUUUUACUCCGUUGAGGACUUAGUUUUUUGAACUUUUCAAGGACUUCAGAUGUUACUUGGAGAUCUACUGGAUUAAAUUCCUAUUCUCUCCCAUACAUCAUUAAAGAAAGAGGCAGUUGGGAAGAUUACAGUUCAUUUUGUUACCUAGCUUAUAGAUGAUUGGGUGUUCAUAAUCUAUAACAUGUUUGGUUAUGCUAUUUCAAGUUUGUUUUCACUGUAUCUUUUAUACUUAACUAUUUUACUGCUGAUAAAAAAA